RNAcentral lists this ribosomal RNA (451 nucleotides) under uncultured bacterium. Its description in RNAcentral is "bacterial SSU rRNA". It matches the Rfam family "Bacterial small subunit ribosomal RNA", at positions 29 to 474 of the family's 1533-position model. The record is from RNAcentral.
AUUGAACGCUGGCAGCAUGCCUUACACAUGCAAGUCGAACGGCAGCACGGGAGCAAUCCUGGUGGCGAGUGGCGAACGGGUGAGUAAUACAUCGGAACGUGUCCUGUAGUGGGGGAUAGCCCGGCGAAAGCCGGAUUAAUACCGCAUACGCUCUACGGAGGAAAGGGGGGGAUCGCAAGACCUCUCGCUACAGGGGCGGCCGAUGGCAGAUUAGCUAGUUGGUGGGGUAAAGGCCUACCAAGGCGACGAUCUGUAGCUGGUCUGAGAGGACGACCAGCCACACUGGGACUGAGACACGGCCCAGACUCCUACGGGAGGCAGCAGUGGGGAAUUUUGGACAAUGGGCGCAAGCCUGAUCCAGCAAUGCCGCGUGUGUGAAGAAGGCCUUCGGGUUGUAAAGCACUUUUGUCCGGAAAGAAAUCCUUUGGGCUAAUACCCUGAGGGGAUGACG